UGUAGUUGACUCAUUAUUUUCGAUCAUUGAAAAUGAAAGUUCCUUGUGUGUGUUACGUUAAGAAACAAUCUUGAUGUUCGAUUACUUUCUUCGAUUUUUUUAAACCACAUGUUAAGGAGUACAGAAUCAAUGUUCCGACAUUGACUUUCACCGAUUUCAUCUAAGGGCAGGCUAUACUUCAAGAAAAUGAGUACUACGACGGCACAAUAUGGUCUUCCACAAGAUUACAAUCAUGAUGAUACAGCAAAUGUAAAAUUAAGGCAUCACAAUAAUGCCGAUCAAAGCGAAACCCAAAGGAAGCGAAGAUCAAAGCACAGACUCUCGAAUCGAAGAAGUACCGGAUUCAUCUCCCAAGCGGAAAUUGAGGCGGCCAAAAGUUUAGGUCCCGACGGAACGGGAAGUCAAAAAUUUUAAAAUAACUACGUAAAUUGUUGAUAUUUGUUUAUAAUAUUUCUAAGAAUGUUAUUUUGUAUACACAUAUAUUUAUUUAUUAACAAUGUAAAAUGAAUUUUUUACCAGUCCUGUAAGUACAGAUGUUUACAUUAAAUACUUUACAAAAAUA
Molecule: long non-coding RNA, 562 nt
Organism: Aethina tumida (small hive beetle)
Lineage: Eukaryota; Metazoa; Arthropoda; Insecta; Coleoptera; Nitidulidae
Exons: 3
Source: RefSeq, a predicted model, not a curated record